GACGAACGCUGGCGGCGUGCCUAAUACAUGCAAGUAGAACGCUGAAGGAGGAGCUUGCUUCUCUGGAUGAGUUGCGAACGGGUGAGUAACGCGUAGGUAACCUGCCUGGUAGUGGGGGAUAACUAUUGGAAACGAUAGCUAAUACCGCAUAACAGUAGAUAUCGCAUGAUAUCUACUUGAAAGGUGCAAUUGCAUCACUACCAGAUGGACCUGCGUUGUAUUAGCUAGUUGGUGAGGUAACGGCUCACCAAGGCGACGAUACAUAGCCGACCUGAGAGGGUGAUCGGCCACACUGGGACUGAGACACGGCCCAGACUCCUACGGGAGGCAGCAGUAGGGAAUCUUCGGCAAUGGACGGAAGUCUGACCGAGCAACGCCGCGUGAGUGAAGAAGGUUUUCGGAUCGUAAAGCUCUGUUGUAAGAGAAGAACGAGUGUGAGAGUGGAAAGUUCACACUGUGACGGUAUCUUACCAGAAAGGGACGGCUAACUACGUG
This 495-nucleotide ribosomal RNA is filed under the name uncultured bacterium. RNAcentral describes it as "partial 16S ribosomal RNA". It matches the Rfam family "Bacterial small subunit ribosomal RNA", at positions 28 to 507 of the family's 1533-position model. The record is from RNAcentral.